AAGCCUGAUGCAGCAACGCCGCGUGAGGGAUGACGGCCUUCGGGUUGUAAACCUCUUUUAGCAGGGAAGAAGCGAAAGUGACGGUACCUGCAGAAAAAGCGCCGGCUAACUACGUGCCAGCAGCCGCGGUAAUACGUAGGGCGCAAGCGUUAUCCGGAAUUAUUGGGCGUAAAGAGCUCGUAGGCGGUUUGUCGCGUCUGCUGUGAAAUCCCGAGGCUCAACUUCGGGUCUGCAGUGGGUACGGGCAGACUAGAGUGCGGUAGGGGAGAUUGGAAUUCCUGGUGUAGCGGUGGAAUGCGCAGAUAUCAGGAGGAACACCGAUGGCGAAGGCAGAUCUCUGGGCCGUAACUGACGCUGAGGAGCGAAAGGGUGGGGAGCAAACAGGCUUAGAUACCCUGGUAGUCCACCCCGUAAACGUUGGGAACUAGUUGUGGGGUCCAUUCCACGGAUUCCGUGACGCAGCUAACGCAUUAAGUUCCCCGCCUGGGGAGUACGGCCGCAAGGCUAAAACUCAAAGGAAUUGACGGGGACCCGCACAAGCGGCGGAGCAUGCGGAUUAAUUCGAUGCAACGCGAAGAACCUUACCAAGGCUUGACAUAUACGAUAACGCUGCAGAAAUGUAGAACUCUUUGGACACUCGUAAACAGGUGGUGCAUGGUUGUCGUCAGCUCGUGUCGUGAGAUGUUGGGUUAAGUCCCGCAACGAGCGCAACCCUCGUUCUAUGUUGCCAGCACGUAAUGGUGGGAACUCAUGGGAUACUGCCGGGGUCAACUCGGAGGAAGGUGGGGAUGACGUCAAAUCAUCAUGCCCCUUAUGUCUUGGGCUUCACGCAUGCUACAAUGGCCGGUACAAAGGGCUGCAAUACCGUGAGGUGGAGCGAAUCCCAAAA
Molecule: ribosomal RNA, 889 nt
Filed under: Microbacterium sp. MCCC1A07536
Lineage: Bacteria; Bacillati; Actinomycetota; Actinomycetes; Micrococcales; Microbacteriaceae
Description: bacterial SSU rRNA
Rfam family: Bacterial small subunit ribosomal RNA
Source: RNAcentral